Molecule: long non-coding RNA, 1975 nt
Filed under: Sorghum bicolor (sorghum)
Lineage: Eukaryota; Viridiplantae; Streptophyta; Magnoliopsida; Poales; Poaceae
Description: long non-coding RNA (SBIC_LNC011964)
Source: RNAcentral
GCAUAAAAAUAAAUUUUAGCAUAUUUAUUUUCCUGUCUACAUAUCAUAAAAAUAAAAAGCAUAAAAAAUAUUGAUCCUACUAAAAGAUAAAUGAGUAUAAGAAAGUUCUAUACUCCCAAAGCUUAGAGAUUCAUUACUAACGCUUAAUCAGUUCCACAUGCUUUGUUGUCUAUUUGAGCUUCACAGGUUCCAAAGGAUCAAGAAGAGCUAACAGGCAGAAGGACGCCCUGUCCCCUGUCGAAGUGUUGUCCACAUCAGACAAGUGUUGUUUCUAACAACAACCACCCACGACACUCCAGGAGGAUCAGUAUGCCUUCGCUGCCCGUCAACAACCUCAAAAGACUACGUCAACAUCUAGCUUGGGGGAGAGCAACCCCCACAUACCGAGCUAGUAUCUCUCGCUUGUUUAUUUAUUCCUAGUGUGUUAUGACAAGAUAAAAAGAUGAGUAAUCUUACAAACCCAAUAAAAAUUAAUUUAUCUUUUAUAAUAAUUUUUUGCUAGCUAAGGAGAGCUCUUAAUGAAUCUGUUAAAAUGAACCACUAGAACACACUCUUAUUUGGAGAUGAUGAAUAGUUGCUCUACCGUAAUUCCUUGCAAGUACCUAUUUCUUAACCUUGUACUCUCCUGAGUUUUAGACAUAAUUGUUUAGACUUAAGAUUUUGCUCUGAGCUUAAAACUUGUGGGUAGCGAAUGCUUGAUCUAAAUCUAGGUAGUUGUGAGCUAUUGUCAAUCUUGCUCCUAGAAAUGCUAGAGUUCUAGAGAAUUUAUUUUGAAAAUUUUAAAUUGCUACAUGAUGAGUUUCUUUAUGAUGAGAGUUCAAAAUUCCUACCACAGCCAAAUACUCAUGCUUACUAGAUUAGAAAAGCCUCUCAUUUAUAUUUCAUCCUAUAAGCAUUGAGGGUAGUUAAGCUGUGUUGACCCUAAGGGACUAAUCAUGCAGUUAAAGUCAAUAAUAUGUGCUCUCGAUCCAUUGAUCUUAGCUACUUCUAUCCUCAGAAGUAUGCAACCACUUACAUCCACUUUACCACAUUCACUAUGUGCUACUUCUGUUCCUAGAAGUACCACCCACAUAUACACACUACACUCUGUGUUGUUUCUAUCCUGGAGACACGCACCUAUGAUGCUCCUACCUUGGUAGUAUUCCACAUCCACUCAGAAAAUGUUCUACUCCUACACUGGGAGAAGACACCCAAAAAUAUUCAUUACCAUUAUAUCUUUUUCUACUUAUCCAAUAAAGCUCGACUUAUUUCAGUUGAAACUCCCUACUGCUAUCAGUGCAUUAAAAGGGUUGGCUGAUUUAAAAAAAGAAAGAAAGAGAAAAGAAAGAGGACAAAAGUCCCAAAAGAAAAGAGAAAAAAUAGCCAAGUCCUUGUUCUCAAAUUAGGAAGGUAUGUUCCCCAGGGAGCAAUUGUAGAAUUAGAUUUUCACCAUCGGUAUUAUCGCCAUCAUUCUUAUCAUUUAUUUCAUUCACUACACUCACAUGCACAUAUGACUUGAUUGUAUUAUUAGUUUCUCUAGAUCCAUGGUUUAACUAUGCAAUACAUGCUAGUUGGUUUAAAUUGUCUUUCCUACAUAUGAGCUCCACAUAAGCCAAUUGUAAGUAGGGUGAGAGAGAUAAGGCAAAUAUGCCUCAGUCACACAAAUACCACAUAUUCAGAGAGAAGGCAUCCCUUACACUUGCCUUGGAGAUGAUCCAAAAAUACCACAUAUGAGAGACUAGAAAGGGUCAUACAAGGAAUCUCUGAGUUUUAUUUGAAAAUCUUGCAAAAACUCUAGACUAAUAGUUGAUCAAAGAGCGAGAAGCAGAGUGCUUGACUUAAACGUUCAGUCUUUCAACUGCCCAAGACCUAAGUGAUAGCUAUAAGCCCCAUGGUGAAAGGUUGUGAGUCUUGAGUUAGAAUAGUUCACUCUAAAGGAGAGUCCUUGUUUGAACGCAUGUGUACUUAUGAGGCGUGAAAGUAUUGUAGCAACUCC